CAGCAGCCGCGGGAAUACGAAGGGUGCAAGCGUUACUCGGAAUUACUGGGCGUAAAGCGUGCGUAGGUGGUCGUUUAAGUCCGUUGUGAAAGCCCUGGGCUCAACCUGGGAACUGCAGUGGAUACUGGGCGACUAGAGUGUGGUAGAGGGUAGCGGAAUUCCUGGUGUAGCAGUGAAAUGCGUAGAGAUCAGGAGGAACAUCCAUGGCGAAGGCAGCUACCUGGACCAACACUGACACUGAGGCACGAAAGCGUGGGGAGCAAACAGGAUUAGAUACCCGGGUAGUCCCUGUCUCUUAUAC
Molecule: ribosomal RNA, 301 nt
Filed under: uncultured bacterium
Lineage: Bacteria
Description: partial 16S ribosomal RNA
Rfam family: Bacterial small subunit ribosomal RNA
Source: RNAcentral